GCGGGAGUGUCGAAACAGGCAGACGAGCGGGAUUUAGAUUCCCGUGCCCGGCAGGGCGUGUGGGUUCGAGUCCCACCUCCCGCA
Molecule: transfer RNA, 84 nt
Filed under: Carbonactinospora thermoautotrophica
Lineage: Bacteria; Bacillati; Actinomycetota; Actinomycetes; Kitasatosporales; Carbonactinosporaceae
Description: Streptomyces thermoautotrophicus tRNA
Rfam family: tRNA
About the family: Transfer RNA (tRNA) molecules are approximately 80 nucleotides in length. Their secondary structure includes four short double-helical elements and three loops (D, anti-codon, and T loops).
Source: Rfam by way of RNAcentral